AAGCGCACCGUAUAUAUGUCAUCCUGCUUUGAGCAAUAAAGCGUGACCUUGCUGCAUAACUCAGUAUUUUGAUACAUGCGAGCUCCGUGUUCGCUCCAUCAAUCGUGGCCGUCUACCAACAGACCAACCAACAAGAACAUAUUAAAAGUGGCAUCCGUAUACCCGUAUUGCCACAUACAAUCUAAGGCCCUCUGUUUAUUGAAUUAUAUAUCUUCUUGGCCUCGUUUAGAGUUGCCUUUGUCACCGCGAGCGAUCGAUACGCUGGCGCUGCUGAGGCUAACAAGGGGCUUCGUCUGCUGUGGCCAGCACUCCCGCCUGUCACCAGAUGCUCAAGGCUCUACGGCCCUGAGCCUGAGCUCCCCUCGGCGUUACGGCGGCCGGGGCCCACCCCACCCUCCACCCAGCUGUAUUUUAUACCUAAUUACACAUGUCUGAGGCUCACGGUGAGGAGUACAAAGCUGUGGGGAAUUGCUGCAGCGGCGGAGGGCCGAGGGGACUUACUGCUGGUAUCUCUCCGGUACGGAUUUAGUCAUGCUCGCAGUAGCUGUGCGCUGCUCUGAAAGACACUCAGUGACCCAGACUCGCUCUGCCUCUGGUGUUUUACAUCACUGUUGAAUGCUUGGAGUUUGUGAGGAGCUGCACAGCUUAACGGCUGCAUGAUGAAACUUCGAGUGCAGCCGAGUUAGAGAUUUCCUGCUGGCAGAAAAAUGCCUGUGUAAACUAGGAUCGCCUGGAGGAAGCAGGUGGGAUCCGUUCCAUCUGUUGUGGGAUUUAAAACACAGAAGAUGAGAGGAAGUGACUUGGGGACAACCUGCGAGGCCCACCAGCUGGUCCAAGAAUCAUCCUCCUAUCUAGAUUAUUCCAUUUGCAUUAAUGGUGCAGCCACAGAGUGAAUAGGAAACUGGACACUGUCAAAGCACAAACAUUUCAGAGCACUGUCUUACCGCUAUAAAGAGGACUCUGAUAGCACAUUAUUGUUUUAACAGCAAUGCUCUGAAUGCAUCUUUCUACCCAGUUUAAAUAAUCUCCACUUUGC
Molecule: long non-coding RNA, 1036 nt
Organism: Monopterus albus (swamp eel)
Lineage: Eukaryota; Metazoa; Chordata; Actinopteri; Synbranchiformes; Synbranchidae
Exons: 4
Source: RefSeq, a predicted model, not a curated record